CCUUCGAUAGCUCAGUUGGUAGAGCGGAGGACUGUAGCUGGUUAAAUGGUUAUCCUUAGGUCGCUGGUUCGAAUCCGGCUCGAAGGA
Ameiurus melas (black bullhead) is the source of this 87-nucleotide non-coding RNA. Lineage: Eukaryota; Metazoa; Chordata; Actinopteri; Siluriformes; Ictaluridae. The record is from the annotation of a GenBank genome assembly.